UACGUAGGGGGCAAGCGUUGUCCGGAUUUAUUGGGCGUAAAGAGCGUGUAGGCGGCCUGGAAGGUCAGCUGUGAAAACUCGAGGCUCAACCUCGAGACGUCGGUUGAAACCACCUGGCUAGAGUCCGGAAGAGGAGAGUGGAAUUCCUGGUGUAGCGGUGAAAUGCGCAGAUAUCAGGAAGAACACCAAUGGCGAAGGCAGCUCUCUGGGACGGUACUGACGCUGAGACGCGAAAGCGUGGGGAGCGAACAGG
This 253-nucleotide ribosomal RNA is filed under the name uncultured bacterium. RNAcentral's name for it is "partial 16S ribosomal RNA". It matches the Rfam family "Bacterial small subunit ribosomal RNA", at positions 524 to 776 of the family's 1533-position model. The record is from RNAcentral.